RNAcentral lists this ribosomal RNA (580 nucleotides) under uncultured soil bacterium. RNAcentral's name for it is "bacterial SSU rRNA". It matches the Rfam family "Bacterial small subunit ribosomal RNA", at positions 336 to 916 of the family's 1533-position model. The record is from RNAcentral.
CUCCUACGGGAGGCAGCAGUAAGGAAUAUUGGUCAAUGGGCGCAAGCCUGAACCAGCCAUGCCGCGUGCAGGAAGACGGCCCUACGGGUUGUAAACUGCUUUUGCAGGGGAAUAAACCCCGCUAUGUAUAGCGGGUUGAAUGUACUCUGAGAAUAAGGAUCGGCUAACUCCGUGCCAGCAGCCGCGGUAAUACGGAGGAUCCGAGCGUUAUCCGGAUUUAUUGGGUUUAAAGGGUGCGUAGGCGGCCUGUUAAGUCAGGGGUGAAAGACGGUAGCUUAACUAUCGCAGUGCCCUUGAUACUGAUGGGCUUGAAUGUAGAUGAAGUAGGCGGAAUGUGACAAGUAGCGGUGAAAUGCAUAGAUAUGUCACAGAACACCGAUUGCGAAGGCAGCUUACUAAGGUAUGAUUGACGCUGAGGCACGAAAGCGUGGGGAUCAAACAGGAUUAGAUACCCUGGUAGUCCACGCCCUAAACGAUGAAUACUCGAUGUUGGCGAUAUACAGUCAGCGUCAAAGCGAAAGCGUUAAGUAUUCCACCUGGGGAGUACGCCCGCAAGGGUGAAACUCAAAGGAAUUGACGG